CGUCGAGACGUGGGAAAGCGCGCCCCCUAGCGAGAGAUUGGAGAGUUCGCAGGCGCGUAGAACGCUUGCCGGCUCAUAUUUAUUUAGUCCCUCCACCCAUCCGUCUCCGUCUCCAUACAGAAAAAGCACUUUUUCCCUAGAUGACCAGCAACGGGCAGGUUUCUCAACUUAUAUUUUCUUCAAUUCUAAAAUAGAUACCAAUAUUGACCUCUCAUUAAGCGUGUAUCAGUUACUACUUGAAAAGUCUGAAGAAUAGUAAACCCUUAGUUUGGAUUGUUGAAGAUAGUUAUGAAUAAGGCAAGACAGGUUCUCUUGUUUUCUUGAAGACUUGUACCUUAGGGGUAGAGGCAGUGUCCAACUAGCAAUUACACAAACAAGGUAAUUGCUAAUGCCUUGAAAACAAACAAACCAAUCUUGGCAUUAUGAUAAUGAUAGUGAAGGGAGAGUUGCUUUGGAGCAAAGCUCGACUCUGGCUGUCUAGUGCAGAAGAAAGGAUCUAGUUAUGUAGCUAUGCAACUCAGGCUGCCUUUGACCUUGAACUCACUAUAGUCCAGAUUGUCCUUGAACUCAUAGCGGUCGUCUAGCUUCUGUGGACUGAGAGCUACUGGGAUCUCAGCCUCCUGGUUUGCAGAUGGCCAUAGUGGACUACCCAGUCCCUAACAUAAUACAAGAGCCCUCUUUCCUGAUUCCUGUGCUGUUGAAGGACAUGACAUCAGGAAGAGGAGACCCGCUCCCACAUCACCACACAAUCUGGAGACUGCAACUCGCCAUCUUUCACCAGAGAUGUGGCAGACAGAACACCCUGUUGGCGACAGAGUUCAUUCCACCCUUUUGGGAAGCCCCUUAACUGAAUGAGCAGAGCCCACGUGGGAUCGGACACACCAGACUUGUUUCAAACUCAUUAUCUUCACUGAGCCUCGCAAACCUCUCAGGUGGGUGUAAUUAAGCCAGCCAGAGGAAGCUGAGACUAAAAGAAAUUAAUAAGUUACCCAGAAUAAGAAAAUAGUGGGGGAGCGGAAAGAAUCUGAAACAUAGUGAUGGGUGCCGAGCAGGAUGGACCCAGGCCGGCCAGGACCAAAGUCACGGCUUAACCAACAGGAUAAAGGACCUUGCGCUCCAUCCCUGAUCAAAGCGGCAUGUGUGUCUUUCACCGUUUUCACCUAUGUCAGCUUCACCCCCACCCCCAGCCAGCAGAGAGCAGUUUUUGAGGACUGGUGACAUCGCUCAUCCUGUAAAGCUGCUUGCCACCAAGCCUGACAACCUGACUUCCAUCCAGAACCCACAGAGUGGGAAGGAGAAAACUAACUCAGAAUUGUUCGCCCGCCCUCCAACUCCUGGUAGCACACAUGCACGCUGCACACAUAGUGUAUUCUGACCGUAACUUCCAGAUCUGCCUCCCCUUCCUCUCCAGCUGCUCUCCCUUAGCACUGUAAUGGAUUUGUAAAUAAAUGUGCUGCUUCGCAUCUGCUUUGA
Long non-coding RNA from Mesocricetus auratus (golden hamster), 1473 nucleotides. RefSeq lists it as uncharacterized. The record is from RefSeq and is a predicted model, not a curated record. The transcript is spliced from 2 exons. NCBI's taxonomy places the organism in Eukaryota, Metazoa, Chordata, Mammalia, Rodentia, Cricetidae.